RNAcentral lists this transfer RNA (71 nucleotides) under Marmota monax (woodchuck). RNAcentral's name for it is "tRNA.Ala". The record is from RNAcentral. Lineage: Eukaryota; Metazoa; Chordata; Mammalia; Rodentia; Sciuridae.
GGGGUUGUGGCUCAUCGGUAGAGCACUCACCCAGCACCUGAGAGGCCCUGGGUUCAAUCCUCAGUACCACA